This is a non-coding RNA of Paramuricea clavata, 126 nucleotides long. Lineage: Eukaryota; Metazoa; Cnidaria; Anthozoa; Malacalcyonacea; Plexauridae. The record is from the annotation of a GenBank genome assembly.
AAGGUUGUUCCAACAAGUCCAAUACAGUCAUGAUAUUACAAUAUUGUUACAACCUUGUGUCAUCAACCUUCAAGUUGUAACAUUCUUGUUAUAUCAUGACUGUAUCAGACUUGUCAGAACAACCUU